This 410-nucleotide ribosomal RNA is filed under the name uncultured Clostridia bacterium. RNAcentral's name for it is "bacterial SSU rRNA". It matches the Rfam family "Bacterial small subunit ribosomal RNA", at positions 9 to 402 of the family's 1533-position model. Lineage: Bacteria; Bacillati; Bacillota; Clostridia. The record is from RNAcentral.
GAGUUUGAUCAUGGCUCAGAACGAACGCUGGCGGCGUGCCUAACACAUGCAAGUCGAGCGGGAAAUUCCCUUCGGGGAGUGAGUACAGCGGCGAACGGGUGAGUAACACGUAGGUAACCUACCCUGGAGACUGGGAUAACCUGCCGAAAGGCGGGCUAAUACUAGAUAAGACCACGAGGGCCACGGCUCUUGAGGUAAAAGGUGGCCUCUACUUGUAAGCUACCACUCUGGGAUGGGCCUGCGCGCCAUUAGCUAGUUGGUGAGGUAACGGCUCACCAAGGCUGAGAUGGCUAGCUGGUCUGAGAGGAUGGCCAGCCACACUGGGACUGAGACACGGCCCAGACUCCUACGGGAGGCAGCAGUGGGGAAUCUUGCGCAAUGGGCGAAAGCCUGACGCAGCGACGCCGCGU